This 393-nucleotide ribosomal RNA is filed under the name uncultured bacterium. Its description in RNAcentral is "partial 16S ribosomal RNA". It matches the Rfam family "Bacterial small subunit ribosomal RNA", at positions 523 to 918 of the family's 1533-position model. The record is from RNAcentral.
AUACGGAGGAUGCAAGCGUUAUCCGGAUUUAUUGGGUUUAAAGGGUGCGUAGGCUGACGUGUAAGUCAGAGGUGAAAUGCCCGGGCUCAACCUGGGAACUGCCUUUGAUACUGCAUGUCUGGAGUUCGGAUGCCGUGGGAGGAAUGGGCAGUGUAGCGGUGAAAUGCAUAGAUAUUGCCCAGAACACCGAUUGCGAAGGCAUCUCACGAAUCCGACACUGACGCUGAGGCACGAAAGCGUGGGGAUCAAACAGGAUUAGAUACCCUGGUAGUCCACGCAGUAAACGAUGAUAACUAACCGUCGGCGAUAGACAGUCGGUGGCCAAGCGAAAGCGAUAAGUUAUCCACCUGGGGAGUACGUUCGCAAGAAUGAAACUCAAAGGAAUUGACGGGG